GGGCCCGCACAAGCGGUGGAGCAUGUGGUUUAAUUCGAUGAUACGCGAGGAACCUUACCAGGGCUUAAAUGUAGUGGGACAGGUCUAGAGAUAGACCCUUCUUCGGACUCAUUACAAGGUGCUGCAUGGUUGUCGUCAGCUCGUGCCGUGAGGUGUCAGGUUAAGUCCUAUAACGAGCGCAACCCCCAUCGUUAGUUGCCAACGAGUAAUGUCGGGAACUCUAACGAAACUGCCGGUGCAAACCGUGAGGAAGGUGGGGAUGACGUCAAAUCAUCACGGCCCUUACGUCCUGGCUACACACGUGCUACAAUGGCCGGUACAGAGAGCAGCCACUUCGCAAGAAGGAGCG
This 349-nucleotide ribosomal RNA is filed under the name uncultured bacterium. Its description in RNAcentral is "bacterial SSU rRNA". It matches the Rfam family "Bacterial small subunit ribosomal RNA", at positions 917 to 1269 of the family's 1533-position model. The record is from RNAcentral.